This 522-nucleotide ribosomal RNA is filed under the name Staphylococcus cohnii. Its description in RNAcentral is "bacterial SSU rRNA". It matches the Rfam family "Bacterial small subunit ribosomal RNA", at positions 100 to 609 of the family's 1533-position model. Lineage: Bacteria; Bacillati; Bacillota; Bacilli; Caryophanales; Staphylococcaceae. The record is from RNAcentral.
GGACGGGUGAGUAACACGUGGGUAACCUACCUAUAAGACUGGAAUAACUCCGGGAAACCGGGGCUAAUGCCGGAUAACAUUUAGAACCGCAUGGUUCUAAAGUGAAAGAUGGUUUUGCUAUCACUUAUAGAUGGACCCGCGCCGUAUUAGCUAGUUGGUAAGGUAACGGCUUACCAAGGCAACGAUACGUAGCCGACCUGAGAGGGUGAUCGGCCACACUGGAACUGAGACACGGUCCAGACUCCUACGGGAGGCAGCAGUAGGGAAUCUUCCGCAAUGGGCGAAAGCCUGACGGAGCAACGCCGCGUGAGUGAUGAAGGUCUUCGGAUCGUAAAACUCUGUUAUUAGGGAAGAACAAAUGUGUAAGUAACUAUGCACGUCUUGACGGUACCUAAUCAGAAAGCCACGGCUAACUACGUGCCAGCAGCCGCGGUAAUACGUAGGUGGCAAGCGUUAUCCGGAAUUAUUGGGCGUAAAGCGCGCGUAGGCGGUUUCUUAAGUCUGAUGUGAAAGCCCACGGCU